GUGCUCGCUUUGGCAUCACAUAUACUAAAAUUGGAAUAAUACAGAGAACAUGAGCAAGGCCCCUGCACAACGAUGACACCCAAUUUGGAGGAGUGCCAAAGAUGGGA
Small nuclear RNA from Otolemur garnettii (small-eared galago), 107 nucleotides. NCBI's taxonomy places the organism in Eukaryota, Metazoa, Chordata, Mammalia, Primates, Galagidae. The record is from Ensembl.